GGGACGUUAGCUCAGUUGGUAGAGCAGCGGACUUUUAAUCCGUUUGUCGUGGGUUCGACUCCCGCACGUCCCACCA
RNAcentral lists this transfer RNA (76 nucleotides) under Rhodoferax sp. Its description in RNAcentral is "tRNA-Lys". It matches the Rfam family "tRNA". Rfam says of the family: Transfer RNA (tRNA) molecules are approximately 80 nucleotides in length. RNAcentral also lists the same sequence under 2 other names. The record is from RNAcentral. Lineage: Bacteria; Pseudomonadati; Pseudomonadota; Betaproteobacteria; Burkholderiales; Comamonadaceae.